Molecule: non-coding RNA, 418 nt
Organism: Biomphalaria pfeifferi
Lineage: Eukaryota; Metazoa; Mollusca; Gastropoda; Planorbidae
Source: the annotation of a GenBank genome assembly
AAAAAAGAUGUCUUUCUUCCAAAUUUUUCACAGUUAUCUUUAAAAGAGACUUUUGCAUUUUUUUUGUUUCCAGGUUAAUACAAGUUAUGAAGUCUUUGUUCUUAUGUAGAACAUGAUCCGUAUGCCUAACCUGUUUGUUUAUUGGGGGUCAUUUAUCUUUGCUGUGUCUUUUAAGUUACUGUAUGUGGUAGAAAGAAAGUAAAUUUAUGCAGUGCUGUAAUGACAAUCUUGUAAUGGUGUUAUAGUUGUUCAGUCAUCCUGCUAAAUUAUUACUCAUAUUUGUUUUUUAAUACAUACUUUUUGUUACUCUAUAAAUAGUAUAAUACCCACAACUAACCCAAAAGCUACCACUCCCAGAGUUUGCAUCAACUGGCUGUAUGUAUGCUGCUAAAUCAACAAGAACUACCAGGUCAAGCCU